CACUUGGGGGAUUGGCCAGGAUCGUUUCACUUACUACAUGCCGGUUACGGCAGGGUUUGAUUCGAACUUUCAAUGACCUACCACAUCUUCCCCUUGCUUUCUUGAUUCGGUGGAUGGUGGUGCAUGGCCGUUCUUAGUUGGUGGAGCGGUUUCUCUGGUUAAUUCCGAUAACGAACGAGACUCUAGCCUUCUUUUUUUUCUGAGCCCAUCCAACGAACACUCAUCGUAGUUUCAGCAGUUUUAGGGAGCGUUUUGCUGCGUGGUUGUAUUUUCAAAUACCUGCCGCUACAAACCUGAACGUUCGGGUUCUUGAAGCCGU
RNAcentral lists this ribosomal RNA (319 nucleotides) under Haemaphysalis longicornis (longhorned tick). RNAcentral describes it as "Eukaryotic small subunit ribosomal RNA". The stretch from base 41 to 319 matches the Rfam family "Eukaryotic small subunit ribosomal RNA", at positions 1224 to 1393 of the family's 1831-position model. Lineage: Eukaryota; Metazoa; Arthropoda; Arachnida; Ixodida; Ixodidae. The record is from Rfam by way of RNAcentral.